GCAAAGCCACCCCUGGCCCCCCGCCAUCUACUCCUGAUGAAUGAGCUGCGACACACUCAAAGGUGAGAAGGCCCAGCCAGACCCAUAUCUCGCAAAUCUUGGCAAAACCAUGGUGCAUCCAACGCAAUUGCCUUGGUGUCAUUCCACAGCAUUUCUGUCCUUGGCCCUUCAAAUGUGGAACAACUUCCCCACAGGUGGCUACUAUGCUCUAAUACUCAGUAAGUAUUACUGCUUACCUGUUUUGAUGCUUUCUCUCUUGAAGACAUACUUUUGUCACAUUUCCUCCACAUUCAUCCAUCCAUUGAAAAGAAAGCCAGGAAGAAGGUGAUGGCCUUUUCCAAUCUCUUAGGGGAGAAACAAAUUUCCUAGAGACUCUCAAUUUCUAGGGGCUGGUCUCCAAAACAAGAUGAAGGUGUGCUUAUAAAAAUGUCUGAGAUCAGCAGAGGUGCAGUGCAGAGGCUUCAGGCCUCACUAAGUCUUGGAAGGGCACUUGGGUUGCUGAGCUGUCCUGAUUCUUGUACAGCAUCCUUUCACUUCUCCUGUUACCCAGGCUAAGCAGAUUCAGUGAGGCAUACGUAGAUCGAGGCAUGCUACAUCUAUAACUUCAUUUUGCCUUGGAGAUGUACUGCAAGAUCAACACCUAGCACAUAAUGCUUAGCAAAUGGUGGCAAUACAGUGCAUAAAAUGACGGCCCUAACUUUUUUCCCUUCAUUUGGGGAAAUUCCCCUCACACAGUACCAUGUGUGCAAAAAAGUAAUUGUUUGCCAGCAUAUGAAGUGUAGCCAAGCAGGCUAAGCUGAACAAAAGUUUCAGGUCCUACAUGGCUAUUAGGAGUUUCCAGUUAAUUGAACACUCGAGUGACAAAUGCACACAGCCACAUUUGGGCAGAUAAUCUGCUUAAAAUCAACCUUUCUACCCCAGGGAAACCCUAGGGAAAUAAUUCAUAGUGCAAGUGUGUGGUGUCUUUCACAAUAUUUAAAAUUUAUAUUUCCUGCUAAAAAAGGCUGAAACUAGAACUGGCUGAAAGAAAUAAAGCAACAUGUCUCUCAAAAGUUCUUAAUUUG
Molecule: long non-coding RNA, 1064 nt
Filed under: Parus major (Great Tit)
Lineage: Eukaryota; Metazoa; Chordata; Aves; Passeriformes; Paridae
Description: lncRNA (ENSPMJG00000011311.1)
Source: RNAcentral